Molecule: ribosomal RNA, 464 nt
Filed under: Vreelandella stevensii
Lineage: Bacteria; Pseudomonadati; Pseudomonadota; Gammaproteobacteria; Oceanospirillales; Halomonadaceae
Description: partial 16S ribosomal RNA
Rfam family: Bacterial small subunit ribosomal RNA
Source: RNAcentral
CCUACGGGGAGCAGCAGUGGGGAAUAUUGGACAAUGGGCGAAAGCCUGAUCCAGCCAUGCCGCGUGUGUGAAGAAGGCCUUCGGGUUGUAAAGCACUUUCAGUGGGGAAGAAAGCCUUGGGGCUAAUACCCUCGAGGAAGGACAUCACCCACAGAAGAAGCACCGGCUAACUCCGUGCCAGCAGCCGCGGUAAUACGGAGGGUGCGAGCGUUAAUCGGAAUUACUGGGCGUAAAGCGCGCGUAGGCGGUCUGAUAAGCCGGUUGUGAAAGCCCCGGGCUCAACCUGGGAACGGCAUCCGGAACUGUCAGGCUAGAGUGCAGGAGAGGAAGGUAGAAUUCCCGGUGUAGCGGUGAAAUGCGUAGAGAUCGGGAGGAAUACCAGUGGCGAAGGCGGCCUUCUGGACUGACACUGACGCUGAGGUGCGAAAGCGUGGGUAGCAAACAGGAUUAAUACCCUAGUAGUC